GAUGAACGCUGACAGAAUGCUUAACACAUGCAAGUCAACUUGAACUUCGGUUUGGGUGGCGGACGGGUGAGUAACGCGUAAAGAACUUGCCUCACAGAUAGGGACAACAUUUGGAAACGAAUGCUAAUACCUGAUAUUAUGAUUUUAGGGCAUCCUAGGAUUAUGAAAGCUAUAUGCGCUGUGAGAGAGCUUUGCGUCCCAUUAGCUAGUUGGAGAGGUAACGGCUCACCAAGGCGAUGAUGGGUAGCCGGCCUGAGAGGGUGAUCGGUCACAAGGGGACUGAGACACGGCCCUUACUCCUACGGGAGGCAGCAGUGGGGAAUAUUGGACAAUGGACCAAGAGUCUGAUCCAGCAAUUCUGUGUGCACGAUGAAGUUUUUCGGAAUGUAAAGUGCUUUCAGUUGGGAAGAAAAAAAUGACGGUACCAACAGAAGAAGUGACGGCUAAAUACGUG
This 454-nucleotide ribosomal RNA is filed under the name uncultured bacterium. Its description in RNAcentral is "partial 16S ribosomal RNA". It matches the Rfam family "Bacterial small subunit ribosomal RNA", at positions 28 to 507 of the family's 1533-position model. The record is from RNAcentral.